GGAGGUAUGGCCAAGUAGCUAAGGCAAGUGGCUGCAAAAUAAUAUUUUUGCUGAGCCCACUGAUCGAGAGUGCAAAUCUCUCUACCUCCU
This 90-nucleotide transfer RNA is filed under the name SAR202 cluster bacterium. Its description in RNAcentral is "tRNA-Cys". It matches the Rfam family "tRNA". Rfam says of the family: Transfer RNA (tRNA) molecules are approximately 80 nucleotides in length. Their secondary structure includes four short double-helical elements and three loops (D, anti-codon, and T loops). Further hydrogen bonds mediate the characteristic L-shaped molecular structure. tRNAs have two regions of fundamental functional importance: the anti-codon, which is responsible for specific mRNA codon recognition, and the 3' end, to which the tRNAs corresponding amino acid is attached (by aminoacyl-tRNA synthetases). tRNAs cope with the degeneracy of the genetic code in two manners: having more than one tRNA (with a specific anti-codon) for a particular amino acid; and 'wobble' base-pairing, i.e. permitting non-standard base-pairing at the 3rd anti-codon position. The record is from RNAcentral. Lineage: Bacteria; Bacillati; Chloroflexota; Dehalococcoidia.